AUACGUAGGGGGCGAGCGUUGUCCGGAAUGAUUGGGCGUAAAGGGCGCGUAGGCGGCCCGGUAAGUCUGGAGUGAAAGUCCUGUUUUUAAGGUGGGAAUUGCUUUGGAUACUGUCGGGCUUGAGUGCAGGAGAGGUAAGUGGAAUUCCCAGUGUAGCGGUGAAAUGCGUAGAGAUUGGGAGGAAUACCAGUGGCGAAGGCGACUUACUGGACUGUAACUGACGCUGAGGCGCGAAAGUGUGGGGAGCAAACAGGAUUAGAUACCCUGGUAGUCCACACCGUAAACGAUGAAUGCUAGGUGUAGGGGGUAUCGACCCCUUCUGUGCCGCAGUCAACACAAUAAGCAUUCCGCCUGGGGAGUACGGCCGCAAGGUUGAAACUCAAAUGAAUUGACGGGG
RNAcentral lists this ribosomal RNA (397 nucleotides) under uncultured bacterium. RNAcentral's name for it is "partial 16S ribosomal RNA". It matches the Rfam family "Bacterial small subunit ribosomal RNA", at positions 523 to 918 of the family's 1533-position model. The record is from RNAcentral.